Syngnathus typhle (broad-nosed pipefish) is the source of this 855-nucleotide long non-coding RNA. RefSeq lists it as uncharacterized. The transcript is spliced from 3 exons. Lineage: Eukaryota; Metazoa; Chordata; Actinopteri; Syngnathiformes; Syngnathidae. The record is from RefSeq and is a predicted model, not a curated record.
AAAGGGGGCAAUUCCUCGGAUGUGAACCUGCAGGCCAGAAGAAAAUAUUCAAAAGCCAAACAACUUUGCCAACAACUUAGCCCAAUUACAACAAAUGGAGACCAAAUGUGUCCCGCGUUCAUGGAGGAGAACAAAUUGAAACGGGGUGCACGCCCACGAGAAUUGCUGCCAUGAUGAACACGUGUGUUCCGAUUGGUCCGAGGAGGCUCGCUGAUUCAUUUUCACGGUCACGAUGAGCACCGGUCGAUGCCAAAAAAAGACCUCCGCACUACUUUUGAUCCAGUAACUUUCUUUCGAUCUCGGCGCUCUCGGAAACACAUGUGGCUCCGUUUGUGCCUUCCUUUAGGAACGGGGAAUGAAGCUUUGGGUGCAUAGCCGAGCUACCGACUCGACUUCGACUUCUUCAUUGAAUUUCCUGGAUCCCCUUUGGGAUGCUGCUUCCGCCCACAGAAGUCUGCGGCGUCUUCUUGCUGCAUGCUCAAAUGAAGCCUGACGCCACGAGACCAAGUCAGCAGACCACACUGACCCGAUUCACCCGGGAGGCUGAGAGACCCUCUUCUAUGAGCUGCCGAGACCACCUCGUACAAACGCCGCUCAGUGUGGCUUUGGACGGAACACCGUGCCAAAGAAAUAUCACAUUUAUUGUUGAUGUGGUUUUGCUUUACGGUCCUUGCUGCUUUUGUUCUUUUUCACAUGUAUCGAUUCGACCUACAAAUCGAAUUUGCUCCGUGACCAAGCUCCGUUGACUCCGUUUAUCCCGAUUGAUAAAUCAUUGAAAGGAUUCGAUUCCAUUUGAAAUUCCAUAAAGAGCUCUCGGCCUCCACAAUCACUACAAAAUAGAAUGCGCUUGAUACA